GUGUCAGCAGCCGCGGUAAUACAGAGGUCCCAAGCGUUGUUCGGAUUCACUGGGCGUAAAGGGUGCGUAGGUGGUUAGGUAAGUCCGAUGUGAAAUCUCCAGGCUCAACCUGGAAAUGGCAUUGGAUACUAUUUAGCUUGAGGAGUGGAGGGGGGACUGGAAUUCUCGGUGUAGCAGUGAAAUGCGUAGAUAUCGAGAGGAACACCAGUGGCGAAGGCGAGUCCCUGGACACUUCCUGACACUGAGGCACGAAAGCUAGGGGAGCAAACAGGAUUAGAUACCCUGGUAGUCC
This 292-nucleotide ribosomal RNA is filed under the name uncultured bacterium. Its description in RNAcentral is "partial 16S ribosomal RNA". It matches the Rfam family "Bacterial small subunit ribosomal RNA", at positions 505 to 796 of the family's 1533-position model. The record is from RNAcentral.